GAUGAACGCUGGCGGCGUGCCUAAUACAUGCAAGUCGAGCGAACAGACGAGGAGCUUGCUCCUCUGACGUUAGCGGCGGACGGGUGAGUAACACGUGGAUAACCUACCUAUAAGACUGGGAUAACUUCGGGAAACCGGAGAUAAUACCGGAUAAUAUAUUGAACCGCAGGGUUCAAUAGUGAAAGACGGUUUUGCUGUCACUUAUAGAUGGAUCCGCGCCGCAUUAGCUAGUUGGUAAGGUAACGGCUUACCAAGGCAACGAUGCGUAGCCGACCUGAGAGGGUGAUCGGCCACACUGGAACUGAGACACGGUCCAGACUCCUACGGGAGGCAGCAGUAGGGAAUCGUCCGCAAUGGGCGAAAGCUUGACGGAGCAACGCCGCGUGAGUGAUGAAGGUCUUCGGAUCGUAAAACUCUGUUAUUAGGGAAGAACAAAUGUGUAAGUAACUAUGCACGUCUUGACGGUACCUAAUCAGAAAGCCACGGCUAACUACGUG
Molecule: ribosomal RNA, 497 nt
Filed under: uncultured bacterium
Lineage: Bacteria
Description: partial 16S ribosomal RNA
Rfam family: Bacterial small subunit ribosomal RNA
Source: RNAcentral